UACGUAGGGUGCGAGCGUUGCCCGGAUUUAUUGGGCGUAAAGGGCGCGCAGGCGGCUACGCACGUCCGUUGUGAAAUCGCUCGGCUCAACUGGGCGGGGUCAGCGGAUACGGCGUAGCUGGAGCAAGCUAGGGGGCAAUGGAAUUCCGGGUGUAGCGGUGAAAUGCGUAGAUAUCCGGAGGAACACCUGUGGCGAAGGCGUCCAUCUGGCCCGUUACUGACGCUGAGGCGCGAAAGCUAGGGGAGCAAACGGG
RNAcentral lists this ribosomal RNA (253 nucleotides) under uncultured bacterium. RNAcentral describes it as "partial 16S ribosomal RNA". It matches the Rfam family "Bacterial small subunit ribosomal RNA", at positions 524 to 776 of the family's 1533-position model. The record is from RNAcentral.